CGGGUGAGUAAUGCCUAGGAAUCUGCAUGGUAGUGGGGGACAACGUUUCGAAAGGAACGCUAAUACCGCAUACGUCCUACGGGAGAAAGCAGGGGACCUUCGGGCCUUGCGCUAUCAGAUGAGCCUAGGUCGGAUUAGCUAGUUGGUGAGGUAAUGGCUCACCAAGGCGACGAUCCGUAACUGGUCUGAGAGGAUGAUCAGUCACACUGGAACUGAGACACGGUCCAGACUCCUACGGGAGGCAGCAGUC
This 250-nucleotide ribosomal RNA is filed under the name uncultured Pseudomonas sp. RNAcentral describes it as "partial 16S ribosomal RNA". It matches the Rfam family "Bacterial small subunit ribosomal RNA", at positions 103 to 355 of the family's 1533-position model. Lineage: Bacteria; Pseudomonadati; Pseudomonadota; Gammaproteobacteria; Pseudomonadales; Pseudomonadaceae. The record is from RNAcentral.